GACGAACGCUGGCGGCGUGCUUAACACAUGCAAGUCGAACGGAAAGGCCCUGCUUGCAGGGUACUCGAGUGGCGAAAGGGGGAGUAACACGUGGGUGUUCUGCCCUGCACAUCGGGAGAAGCCUGGGAAACUGGGUCUAAUACCGGAGAGGAGACAUUCUUAGGGAGAGGGGUGGAUAGUUUUUUCGGUGUAGGAUGAGCUCGCGGGCUUUUAGCCAGUUGGUGGGGGAAUGGGCUACCAAGGCGGCUGCGGGUUGGCGGCCGGGGGGGGGGGACGGCCAACUUGGGGCUGGGGUUCGGCCCCGGCCCCCUCGGGGGGCAGGCGUUGGGAAUUUUGCAAAAUUGGCGCGAGCCCUAUGCAGCGACGCCGCGGGGGGGGUUACGGCCUUCGGGUUGUAAACUCCUUUCGCUAGGUACGAAGCUUUUUGUGACGGUACCUAGUGAAGAAGCACCGGCUAACUACGUG
Molecule: ribosomal RNA, 465 nt
Filed under: uncultured bacterium
Lineage: Bacteria
Description: partial 16S ribosomal RNA
Rfam family: Bacterial small subunit ribosomal RNA
Source: RNAcentral